GAAACAGUUGCUAAGACUGGAUAGGAAAAGUAAAGGCAUCUUUACUUUUUUAAAAGACCUUCUUUGGAGGUAUGCUUAAGGAGGGGCUUGCGACACAUUAGUUAGUUGGCAGGGUAAAGGCCUACCAAGACUAUGAUGUGUAGCUGGACUGAGAGGUUGAACAGCCACAUUGGGACUGAGACACGGCCCAAACUCCUACGGGAGGCAGCAGUAGGGAAUUUUCGGCAAUGGAGGAAACUCUGACCGAGCAACGCCGCGUGAACGAUGAAGUACCUCGGUAUGUAAAGUUCUUUUAUUAAGGAAGAAAAAAGAGUGGAAAAACUCCCUUGACGGUACUUAAUGAAUAAGCCCCGGCUAAUUAUGUGCCAGCAGCCGCGGUAAUACAUAAGGGGCGAGCGUUAUCCGGAAUUAUUGGGCGUAAAGGGUGCGUAGGCGGUUUAAUAAGUCUAUAGUUUAAUUUCAGUGCUUAACGCUGUUGUGCUAUAGAAACUGUUUUACUAGAGUGAGAUAGAGGCAAGCGGAAUUCCAUGUGUAGCGGUAAAAUGCGUAAAUAUAUGGAGGAACACCAGAGGCGUAGGCGGCUUGCUGGGUCUUUACUGACGCUGAGGCACGAAAGCGUGGGGAGCAAACAGGAUUAGAUACCCUGGUAGUCCACGCCGUAAACGAUGAGUACUAAGUGUCGGGUAAAACCGGUACUGAAGUUAACACAUUAAGUACUCCGCCUGAGUAGUACGUACGCAAGUAUGAAACUUAAAGGAAUUGACGGGACUCCGCACAAGCGGUGGAUCAUGUUGUUUAAUUCGAAGAUACACGAAAAACCUUACCAGGUCUUGACAUUUUCUUGCGAAGUUAUAGAAAUAUAAUGGAGGUUAUCAGGAAAACAGGUGGUGCAUGGUUGUCGUCAGCUCGUGUCGUGAGAUGUUAGGUUAAGUCCUAAAACGAGCGCAACCCUUGUCGUUAAUUGCCAGCAUGUAAUGAUGGGGACUUUAACGAGACUGCCAAUGAAAAAUUGGAGGAAGGUGGGGAUUACGUCAAAUCAUCAUGCCCCUUAUGAUCUGGGCUACAAACGUGAUACAAUGGUUGAUACAAAGAGUAGCUGAAACGCGAGUUCUUAGCCAAUCUCACAAAAUCAAUCUCAGUUCGGAUUGAAGUCUGCAACUCGACUUCAUGAAGUUGGAAUCGCUAGUAAUCGCGAAUCAGCAUGUCGCGGUGAAUACGUUCUCGGGGUUUGUACACACCGCCCGUCA
RNAcentral lists this ribosomal RNA (1247 nucleotides) under 'Euscelidius variegatus' phytoplasma. Its description in RNAcentral is "bacterial SSU rRNA". It matches the Rfam family "Bacterial small subunit ribosomal RNA", at positions 153 to 1399 of the family's 1533-position model. Lineage: Bacteria; Bacillati; Mycoplasmatota; Mollicutes; Acholeplasmatales; Acholeplasmataceae. The record is from RNAcentral.